AUGGUAAUUGCGAGGGUGCACACUGAUAGAACCUUCAGCCGUGGUGCUUUCUAUGAUCAGAUGCGUAUAGCAUGGAGCUUGGCACAGGGUGCGACAUUUACUGUUGUUGGCGAGAAUCUAUUCACUAUCACGGUGAAUUGUCUGGGGGACUGGAAACGAGUUACAGAGGAGGGCCCUUGGCUCUUCCGUGAUCACGGUGUUCUAAUUGAAAGCUAUGAUGGUUUUACCAAUUUUGAUGAAGUCGUCCUUAAUAGGCUCUCAGUCUGGAUGCAAAUAGUUGAUCUCCCUCCGCUGUACAGGAAGGAUGCAAUCAUUAGAUCCCUGGCAAAGAAGGUAGGGAAGGUUACUAGCGUGAUGUUAAACCCUAGAUGGGGCAAUGGCAGAAUUGUUCGGGUACGAGUUCAUUUGGAUGUUGAUCAGCCUCUUAUGCGUUUUGUUUCCAUCACCAAAAACCAGAAGAAGGUUUACUACUCGGUUCUUUAUGAGAAAAUCCCAGUGUUUUGUAUGUAUGUGGAUGCAUGGGUCACACGCACUUAG
RNAcentral lists this ribosomal RNA (537 nucleotides) under Triticum aestivum (bread wheat). Its description in RNAcentral is "partial small subunit ribosomal RNA". Lineage: Eukaryota; Viridiplantae; Streptophyta; Magnoliopsida; Poales; Poaceae. The record is from RNAcentral.